CCCAGACUCCUACGGGAGGCAGCAGUGGGGAAUAUUGCACAAUGGGGGAAACCCUGAUGCAGCGACGCCGCGUGAAGGAUGAAGUAUUUCGGUAUGUAAACUUCUAUCAGCAGGGAAGAAAAUGACGGUACCUGACUAAGAAGCCCCGGCUAACUACGUGCCAGCAGCCGCGGUAAUACGUAGGGGGCGAGCGUUAUCCGGAUUCACUGGGUGUAAAGGGAGCGUAGACGGCCAAGCAAGCCAGGGGUGAAAGCCCGGGGCCCAACCCCGGGACUGUCCUUGGAACUGCUUGGCUGGAGUGCGGGAGGGGCAGGCGGAAUUCCUAGUGUAGCGGUGAAAUGCGUAGAUAUUAGGAGGAACACCAGUGGCGAAGGCGGCCUGCUGGACGAUGACUGACGUUGAGGCUCGAAAGCGUGGGGAGCAAACAGGAUUAGAUACCCGUGUAAU
This 447-nucleotide ribosomal RNA is filed under the name uncultured bacterium. RNAcentral's name for it is "partial 16S ribosomal RNA". It matches the Rfam family "Bacterial small subunit ribosomal RNA", at positions 330 to 794 of the family's 1533-position model. The record is from RNAcentral.